GACGUAGGGCGCGAGCGUUGUCCGGAUUUAUUGGGCGUAAAGAGCUCGUAGGCGGCUUGUUGCGUCGACUGUGAAAACCUGCGGCUCAACCGUGUGGUCUGCAGUCGAUACGGGCAGGCUGGAGUUCGGUAGGGGAGACUGGAAUUCCUGGUGUAGCGGUGAAAUGCGCAGAUAUCAGGAGGAACACCAGUGGCGAAGGCGACUACCUGGCCUGUUCUUGACGCUGAGGCGCGAAAGCUAGGGGAGCAAACGGG
This 254-nucleotide ribosomal RNA is filed under the name uncultured bacterium. RNAcentral's name for it is "partial 16S ribosomal RNA". It matches the Rfam family "Bacterial small subunit ribosomal RNA", at positions 524 to 776 of the family's 1533-position model. The record is from RNAcentral.